Molecule: ribosomal RNA, 739 nt
Filed under: Enterobacter cloacae
Lineage: Bacteria; Pseudomonadati; Pseudomonadota; Gammaproteobacteria; Enterobacterales; Enterobacteriaceae
Description: bacterial SSU rRNA
Rfam family: Bacterial small subunit ribosomal RNA
Source: RNAcentral
CGUACAGGUAGCCCUAGAGUUUGAUCCUGACUCAUGCGGACGGGUGAGUAAUGUCUGGGAAACUGCCCGAUGGAGGGGGAUAACUACUGGAAACGGUAGCUAAUACCGCAUAACGUCGCAGACCAAAGAGGGGGACCUUCGGGCCUCUUGCCAUCGGAUGUGCCCAGAUGGGAUUAGCUAGUAGGUGGGGUAACGGCUCACCUAGGCGACGAUCCCUAGCUGGUCUGAGAGGAUGACCAGCCACACUGGAACUGAGACACGGUCCAGACUCCUACGGGAGGCAGCAGUGGGGAAUAUUGCACAAUGGGCGCAAGCCUGAUGCAGCCAUGCCGCGUGUAUGAAGAAGGCCUUCGGGUUGUAAAGUACUUUCAGCGGGGAGGAAGGCGACAGGGUUAAUAACCCUGUCGAUUGACGUUACCCGCAGAAGAAGCACCGGCUAACUCCGUGCCAGCAGCCGCGGUAAUACGGAGGGUGCAAGCGUUAAUCGGAAUUACUGGGCGUAAAGCGCACGCAGGCGGUCUGUCAAGUCGGAUGUGAAAUCCCCGGGCUCAACCUGGGAACUGCAUUCGAAACUGGCAGGCUAGAGUCUUGUAGAGGGGGGUAGAAUUCCGGUGUAGCGGUGAAAUGCGUAGAGAUCUGGAGGAAUACCGGUGGCGAAAGCUGCCCCCUGGACAAAGACUGACGCUAGUGCGAAAGCGUGGGGGAGCAAACAGGAUUAGAUACCCUGGUAGUCCACGCC